AGUGAACGCUGGCGGUAGGCCUAACACAUGCAAGUCGAACGGCAGCACAGUAAGAGCUUGCUCUUACGGGUGCCGAGUGGCGGACGGGUGAGGAAUACCUCGGAAUCUACUUUUUCGUGGGGGCUAACGUAGGGAAACUUACGCUAAUACCGCAUACGACCUACGGGUGAAAGCUGGGGAUCUUCGGCCCUUGCGCGAUUGUAUGAGCCGAUGUCGGAUUAGCUAGUUGGCGGGGUAAAGGCCCACCAAGGCGACGAUCCGUAGCUGGUCUGAGAGGAGGAUCGGCCACACUGGAACUGAGACACGGUCCAGACUCGUACGGGAGGCAGCAGGGGGGAAUAUUGGAAAAUGGGCGCAAGCCUGAUCCAGCCAUACGGCGUGGGUGAAGAAGGCCUUCGGGUUGUAAAGCCCUUUUGUUGGGAAAGAAAAGCAGCAGGUUAAUACCCGGCUGUUCUGACGGUACCCAAAGAAUAAGCACCGGCAAACUUCGU
This 491-nucleotide ribosomal RNA is filed under the name uncultured bacterium. RNAcentral describes it as "partial 16S ribosomal RNA". It matches the Rfam family "Bacterial small subunit ribosomal RNA", at positions 29 to 506 of the family's 1533-position model. The record is from RNAcentral.